UACAGAGGUGGCAAGCGUUGUUCGGAAUUACUGGGCGUAAAGGGCGUGUAGGCGGCUUCUUAAGUCAGACGUGAAAUCCCCCGGCUUAACCUGGGAACUGCGUCUGAUACUGGGAAGCUAGAGUUCGGGAGAGGGAUGUAGAAUUCCAGGUGUAGCGGUGAAAUGCGUAGAUAUCUGGAGGAAUACCGGUGGCGAAGGCGGCAUCCUGGACCGAAACUGACGCUUAAGCGCGAAAGCUAGGGGAGCAAACGGG
RNAcentral lists this ribosomal RNA (253 nucleotides) under uncultured bacterium. RNAcentral describes it as "partial 16S ribosomal RNA". It matches the Rfam family "Bacterial small subunit ribosomal RNA", at positions 524 to 776 of the family's 1533-position model. The record is from RNAcentral.